RNAcentral lists this ribosomal RNA (492 nucleotides) under uncultured bacterium. Its description in RNAcentral is "partial 16S ribosomal RNA". It matches the Rfam family "Bacterial small subunit ribosomal RNA", at positions 29 to 507 of the family's 1533-position model. The record is from RNAcentral.
AGUGAACGCUGGCGGUAGGCCUAACACAUGCAAGUCGAACGGCAGCACAGUAAGAGCUUGCUCUUACGGGUGGCGAGUGGCGGACGUGUGAGGAAUACAUCGGAAUCUACUUUUUCGUGGGGGAUAACGUAGGUAAACUUACGCUAAUACCGCAUACGACCUACGGGUGAAAGCAGGGGAUCUUCUGACCGUGUGCGAUUGAAUGAGCCGAUGUCGGAUUAGCUAGUUGGCGGGGUAAAGGCCCACCAAGGCGACGAUCCGUAGCUGGUCUGAGAGGCUGAUCAGCCACACUGGAACUGAGACACGGUCCAGACUCCUACGGGAGGCAGCAGUGGGGAAUAUUGGACAAUGGGCGCAAGCCUGAUCCAGCCAUACCGCGUGGGUGAAGAAGGCCUUCGGGUUGUAAAGCCCUUUUGUUGGGAAAGAAAAGCAGCAGGUUAAUACCCCGCUGUUCUGACGGUACCCAAAGAAUAAGCACCGGCUAACUUCGUG